GACGAACGCUGGCGGCGUGCUUAACACAUGCAAGUCGAACGGAAAGGCCCUGCUUUUGUGGGGUGCUCGAGUGGCGAACGGGUGAGUAACACGUGAGUAACCUGCCCUUGACUUUGGGAUAACUUCAGGAAACUGGGGCUAAUACCGGAUAGGAGCUCCUUCUGCAUGGUGGGGGUUGGAAAGUUUCGGCGGUUGGGGAUGGACUCGCGGCUUAUCAGCUUGUUGGUGGGUAGUGGCUUACCAAGGCUUUGACGGGUAGCCGGCCUGAGAGGGUGACCGGCCACAUUGGGACUGAGAUACGGCCCAGACUCCUACGGGAGGCAGCAGUGGGGAAUAUUGCACAAUGGGCGGAAGCCUGAUGCAGCAACGCCGCGUGCGGGAUGACGGCCUUCGGGUUGUAAACCGCUUUCGCCUGUGACGAAGCGUGAGUGACGGUAAUGGGUAAAGAAGCACCGGCUAACUACGUG
This 467-nucleotide ribosomal RNA is filed under the name uncultured bacterium. RNAcentral describes it as "partial 16S ribosomal RNA". It matches the Rfam family "Bacterial small subunit ribosomal RNA", at positions 28 to 507 of the family's 1533-position model. The record is from RNAcentral.